CAUGCGCGAAAGCCACAAUAAAAUGUAAGCUACGUGACUGCUGGUCGACUAGCGGGGACUUCUGCAAUCUCAGCACCGCGAGCUUUUAAAAAGGCGAUCAACAGCCAAAUCCACGUCUUUGUUAGUUAAUUCGACUUCCGCGUUUAACUUGACAGGCCCGUGCCUUGUAAAAGUCCCUUAUCUUAAUUUGCGCUGCACUUAAGACGAGUUCAGACACGGUUCAACCGGCAGGCCACGUAUUAGUUAUUAA
Cotesia glomerata is the source of this 250-nucleotide long non-coding RNA. RefSeq lists it as uncharacterized. The transcript has 2 exons. Lineage: Eukaryota; Metazoa; Arthropoda; Insecta; Hymenoptera; Braconidae. The record is from RefSeq and is a predicted model, not a curated record.